GGUUAAGCGACUAAGCGUACACGGUGGAUGCCCUGGCAGUCAGAGGCGAUGAAGGACGUGCUAAUCUGCGAUAAGCGUCGGUAAGGUGAUAUGAACCGUUAUAACCGGCGAUUUCCGAAUGGGGAAACCCAGUGUGAUUCGUCACACUAUCAUUAACUGAAUCCAUAGGUUAAUGAGGCGAACCGGGGGAACUGAAACAUCUAAGUACCCCGAGGAAAAGAAAUCAACCGAGAUUCCCCCAGUAGCGGCGAGCGAACGGGGAGCAGCCCAGAGCCUGAAUCAGUGUGUGUGUUAGUGGAAGCGUCUGGAAAGGCGUGCGAUACAGGGUGACAGCCCCGUACACAAAAAUGCACAUAUUGUGAGCUCGAUGAGUAGGGCGGGACACGUGGUAUCCUGUCUGAAUAUGGGGGGACCAUCCUCCAAGGCUAAAUACUCCUGACUGACCGAUAGUGAACCAGUACCGUGAGGGAAAGGCGAAAAGAACCCCGGCGAGGGGAGUGAAAAAGAACCUGAAACCGUGUACGUACAAGCAGUGGGAGCACGCUUAGGCGUGUGACUGCGUACCUUUUGUAUAAUGGGUCAGCGACUUAUAUUCUGUAGCAAGGUUAACCGAAUAGGGGAGCCGAAGGGAAACCGAGUCUUAACUGGGCGUUAAGUUGCAGGGUAUAGACCCGAAACCCGGUGAUCUAGCCAUGGGCAGGUUGAAGGUUGGGUAACACUAACUGGAGGACCGAACCGACUAAUGUUGAAAAAUUAGCGGAUGACUUGUGGCUGGGGGUGAAAGGCCAAUCAAACCGGGAGAUAGCUGGUUCUCCCCGAAAGCUAUUUAGGUAGCGCCUCGUGAAUUCAUCUCCGGGGGUAGAGCACUGUUUCGGCAAGGGGGUCAUCCCGACUUACCAACCCGAUGCAAACUGCGAAUACCGGAGAAUGUUAUCACGGGAGACACACGGCGGGUGCUAACGUCCGUCGUGAAGAGGGAAACAACCCAGACCGCCAGCUAAGGUCCCAAAGUCAUGGUUAAGUGGGAAACGAUGUGGGAAGGCCCAGACAGCCAGGAUGUUGGCUUAGAAGCAGCCAUCAUUUAAAGAAAGCGUAAUAGCUCACUGGUCGAGUCGGCCUGCGCGGAAGAUGUAACGGGGCUAAACCAUG
RNAcentral lists this ribosomal RNA (1149 nucleotides) under Escherichia coli. RNAcentral describes it as "partial 23S ribosomal RNA". It matches the Rfam family "Bacterial large subunit ribosomal RNA", at positions 1 to 1191 of the family's 2925-position model. The record is from RNAcentral. Lineage: Bacteria; Pseudomonadati; Pseudomonadota; Gammaproteobacteria; Enterobacterales; Enterobacteriaceae.